RNAcentral lists this long non-coding RNA (937 nucleotides) under Calidris pugnax (ruff). Its description in RNAcentral is "lncRNA (ENSCPUG00000010883.1)". Lineage: Eukaryota; Metazoa; Chordata; Aves; Charadriiformes; Scolopacidae. The record is from RNAcentral.
AUGGAAGGUACCCGUUCAGCGCUGGAGACCUCGCCGGCUGCAUCCCUGUCCUCUGCUGCUGCUGGAGAGAGCCCUACAGAGGUUCCACGGGAAGACCUGUGUUACCUCUUUGGUGAGACCAUGUACGGUGGCCACAUCACCGGUGCCUGGGACCACAAGCUCUGCUGUAUAUUUCUGCAAGAAUUCAUCAGCCCGCCUGUGGAGAGGGAUCAGGCCAGUCUACAAAGGAAAAGUUCGUCAUCUGGUGUAUUGUUGGUGCUGUUAAUGACAUGUGGAGCACACAUCUUACUAUGUUAUUUCGACUUGAAAGUAGAAGAGUCAGACAAAGUUGAUUGCAGUGAUUUCUAAUGGCUCUGUUUGUGUUGCCCGGAAAGGAGAAGAAUGUCCUGGAUAAUAUUCUGGACAUGCUUCCCAAGGAGUUUAACGUGGCAGACAUCACACAGACAGCUACUGCCUGGAGCCCCUGUGCCCUUGUGUGCCUUCAAGAGUGUGGGAGGAUGAACCUCCUCCUGUCGGGGAUCCAUAGGUCUCUUAAAUAGCUGGACCUAAGUCUGCAGGCAAGUGACUAUUUUAUUAACAGUAUUGUUACUCUUCUAUGCAAUUUGGGGCUUCUUCUUGCUUUUUUUGGAAGUGAAAAGAAUAGCUAUUCUUUAUGAUGCCAGUAUGGUUUUUAUUGUUCUCCAAAGGGGGGUUGUGGGGUGUGUGGUGUGAUGUUUUCUCCUCACAUGAAGUACUGCAAUCUGCACUCUUCUAGGAUGCUGUGCCAGACACGUGGACUAAACUGGCCACGUCCAUCCACGUACAGCCUUGCCCACUAAGUACACUUCAGUAACAGGGCUUAGCUGCUACGCACAGAGCUAGUCCACUGACCCAACCCCAGUUUUAGUUUUUUGUCCAAAAUUUGUCUUAAUGCAAGUCAGUUUUACUUUGAAGUGAG